GCGACUUGAAGAAAUGGAAAGGGUGAUGCUGAUUUUUAGAGACUGCAGCCCACCUCGCCAUCCCCAGAAUCCUUUCUAAGCCCAGGGAAAGGUAGGAAGCAGGAGCCUGGAUCAGCUGCUCCUCUGGGUUGCUGCUGUGGUCGAGUGACUUUCCAGAUUGGAUCAUGUGCCCAGCCAGAGCUGCAAAGCAUCAGACAUUCCUCAGCAACCAGCCAAGCGAGGCUGUGAGUGUCAGCCGUGGAGGAGGUUAAUGAUUCGCCGGU
This 263-nucleotide long non-coding RNA is filed under the name Fukomys damarensis (Damara mole-rat). RNAcentral's name for it is "lncRNA (ENSFDAG00000029168.1)". The record is from RNAcentral. Lineage: Eukaryota; Metazoa; Chordata; Mammalia; Rodentia; Bathyergidae.